UUUUCGGAAUUAGAGACCGGCGCACGGGUGCGUAACGCGUAUGCAAUCUACCUUUCACAGAGGGAUAGCCCAGAGAAAUUUGGAUUAAUACCUCAUAGUAUUAUAGAGUGGCAUCACUUUAUAAUUAAAGUCACAACGGUGAAAGAUGAGCAUGCGUCCCAUUAGCUAGUUGGUAAGGUAACGGCUUACCAAGGCAACGAUGGGUAGGGGUCCUGAGAGGGAGAUCCCCCACACUGGUACUGAGACACGGACCAGACUCCUACGGGAGGCAGCAGUGAGGAAUAUUGGACAAUGGGCGCAAGCCUGAUCCAGCCAUGCCGCGUGCAGGAUGACGGUCCUAUGGAUUGUAAACUGCUUUUGCACAGGAAGAAACAACAUUACGUGUAAUGUCUUGACGGUACUGUGAGAAUAAGGAUCGGCUAACUCCGUGCCAGCAGCCGCGGUAAUACGGAGGAUCCAAGCGUUAUCCGGAAUCAUUGGGUUUAAAGGGUCCGUAGGCGGUUUAGUAAGUCAGUGGUGAAAGCCCAUCGCUCAACGGUGGAACGGCCAUUGAUACUGCUAAACUUGAAUUAUUAGGAAGUAACUAGAAUAUGUAGUGUAGCGGUGAAAUGCUUAGAGAUUACAUGGAAUACCAAUUGCGAAGGCAGGUUACUACUAAUGGAUUGACGCUGAUGGACGAAAGCGUGGGUAGCGAACAGGAUUAGAUACCCUGGUAGUCCACGCCGUAAACGAUGGAUACUAGCUGUUGGAAGCAAUUUCAGUGGCUAAGCGAAAGUGAUAAGUAUCCCACCUGGGGGAGUACGUUCGCAAGAAUGAAACUCAAAGGAAUUGACGGGGGCCCGCACAAGCGGUGGAGCAUGUGGUUUAAUUCGAUGAUACGCGAGGAACCUUACCAAGGCUUAAAUGUAGAUUGACCGGUUUGGAAACAGACUUUUCGCAAGACAAUUUACAAGGUGCUGCAUGGUUGUCGUCAGCUCGUGCCGUGAGGUGUCAGGUUAAGUCCUAUAACGAGCGCAACCCCUGUUGUUAGUUGCCACCGAGUCAUGUCGGGAACUCUAACGAGACUGCCAGUGCAAACUGAAAAGGAAGGUGGGGG
This 1096-nucleotide ribosomal RNA is filed under the name Flavobacterium sp. RNAcentral's name for it is "bacterial SSU rRNA". It matches the Rfam family "Bacterial small subunit ribosomal RNA", at positions 79 to 1179 of the family's 1533-position model. The record is from RNAcentral. Lineage: Bacteria; Pseudomonadati; Bacteroidota; Flavobacteriia; Flavobacteriales; Flavobacteriaceae.